This 217-nucleotide unclassified non-coding RNA is filed under the name plant metagenome. RNAcentral describes it as "partial contains small subunit ribosomal RNA, internal transcribed spacer 1, and 5.8S ribosomal RNA". The stretch from base 169 to 217 matches the Rfam family "5.8S ribosomal RNA", at positions 1 to 49 of the family's 154-position model. The record is from RNAcentral.
UCUCCGUUGGUGAACCAGCGGAGGGAUCAUUACCGAGUGCAAACUCAUAACCCUUUGUGAACCUAUAUCUGUUGCUUCGGCGGCUCGCUCUCGGGCGAGCCCGCCGGUAAUAUCAGUAUCUCUGUUUGAACCCGACGAUACUUCUGAGUGUUCUUAGCGAACAGUUAAAACUUUUAACAACGGCUCUCUUGGCUCUAGCAUCGAUGAAAAACGCAGC